GACGAACGCUGGCGACGUGCUUAACACAUGCAAGUCGAACGGAAAGGCCCUGCUUUUGUGGGGUGCUCGAGUGGCGAACGGGUAAGUAACACGUGAGUAACCUGCCCUUGACUUUGGGAUAACUUCAGGAAACUGGGGCUAAUACCGGAUAGGAGCUCCUGCUGCAUGGUGGGGGUUGGAAAGUUUCGGCGGUUGGGGAUGGACUCGCGGCUUAUCAGCUUGUUGGUGGGGUAGUGGCUUACCAAGGCUUUGACGGGUAGCCGGCCUGAGAGGGUGACCGGCCACAUUGGGACUGAGAUACGGCCCAGACUCCUACGGGAGGCAGCAGUGGGGAAUAUUGCACAAUGGGCGGAAGCCUGAUGCAGCAACGCCGCGUGCGGGAUGACGGCCUUCGGGUUGUAAACCGCUUUCGCCUGUGACGAAGCGUGAGUGACAGUAAUGGGUAAAGAAGCACCGGCUAACUACGUGCCAGCAGCCGCGGUGAUACGUAGGGUGCGAGCGUUGUCCGGAUUUAUUGGGCGUAAAGGGCUCGUAGGUGGUUGAUCGCGUCGGAAGUGUAAUCUUGGGGCUUAACCCUGAGCGUGCUUUCGAUACGGGUUGACUUGAGGAAGGUAGGGGAGAAUGGAAUUCCUGGUGGAGCGGUGGAAUGCGCAGAUAUCAGGAGGAACACCAGUGGCGAAGGCGGUUCUCUGGGCCUUUCCUGACGCUGAGGAGCGAAAGCGUGGGGAGCGAACAGGCUUAGAUACCCUGGUAGUCCACGCUGUAAACGGUGGGUACUAGGUGUGGGGUCCAUUCCACGGGUUCCGUGCCGUAGCUAACGCUUUAAGUACCCCGCCUGGGGAGUACGGCCGCAAGGCUAAAACUCAAAGGAAUUGACGGGGCCCCGCACAAGCGGCGGAGCAUGCGGAUUGAUUCGAUGCAACGCGUAGAACCUUACCUGGGUUUGACAUGGAUCGGGAGUGCUCAGAGAUGGGUGUGCCUCUUUUGGGGUCGGUUCACAGGUGGUGCAUGGCUGUCGUCAGCUCGUGUCGUGAGAUGUUGGGUUAAGUCCCGCAACGAGCGCAACCCUUGUUCACUGUUGCCAGCACGUUAUGGUGGGGACUCAGUGGAGACCGCCGGGGUCAACUCGGAGGAAGGUGGGGAUGACGUCAAGUCAUCAUGCCCCUUAUGUCCAGGGCUUCACGCAUGCUACAAUGGCUGGUACAGAGAGUGGCGAGCCUGUGAGGGUGAGCGAAUCUCGGAAAGCCGGUCUCAGUUCGGAUUGGGGUCUGCAACUCGACCUCAUGAAGUCGGAGUCGCUAGUAAUCGCAGAUCAGCAACGCUGCGGUGAAUACGUUCCCGGG
This 1343-nucleotide ribosomal RNA is filed under the name uncultured bacterium. Its description in RNAcentral is "16S ribosomal RNA". It matches the Rfam family "Bacterial small subunit ribosomal RNA", at positions 28 to 1378 of the family's 1533-position model. The record is from RNAcentral.